RNAcentral lists this long non-coding RNA (9480 nucleotides) under Mytilus galloprovincialis (Mediterranean mussel). Lineage: Eukaryota; Metazoa; Mollusca; Bivalvia; Mytilida; Mytilidae. The record is from RNAcentral.
AUUCGCACCUUCAGACUCAGUCAACCAUUGUCAAAGAAAAAGUGUACUGCUCAAGUUUGGAUCUAGGAGGUGCAAUUCCCGAUAAUUUAAGCUUAUACUAAAAAUGCAUAGAACAAAAUAGAAAAGAAUAUUUGUUUUUCUAAAUGACAGGGUCCAUAUUAUCCAUGACAUCCCAUAAAAUCAGAUGCAAUGAUUGAAGUAAUUGAGUCAAUAAUAAGGGGGUCCGCUCGACAGUCCGACAGUUCUUUAGUCCGACGGUUUAAUAGUCCGACAGUUUAAUAGUCCGACAGUUCUAUAGUCCGAUAGUCCGACAUAUACAACAAGAUAUAAUAUAGACUAACCACAGGCACUAGACGUUCUACCUGGCUUUCGACCUAACUUUUCCAAAACUGAAUCCCCGUUAUUGUUUAUGACUUAUUUCACACACCUCCUCCUCCCCCUAACACACCAUUGUUUAGAUAAAUCAAUUUAGACCAACGGCAUAAUAAUUUCAGUAGGUUUGGCAAUCGAGAAAUAGAAAAAACGGAAUUUGGCGACCGGGUGACAUUUUUCAAAAAAAUUAUUUAUAUUGUGUUGUAUUAAGGUAUAUUUGAUUUUUUUUCUGAGACAAGUGCCUGUGCUUCGGUGGUUCCCCUCCGACAACUAUGUCUCCGACCAAGAUAUCCGCCACAGCUGAACUUAGCUAAACAUAGGAUCCUAUGGAAAACUCACAUAAGAUCUUCUUGUCUGGAGCCAGUGGGCCAAUUAGGACGAAACUUUGGUUGAAUGGUACUUAGUUAUAGGUGGUCCACUUCCAAAAUUAUUUCUAACAUCCUCAACCUGCGAACAAAAUAACCGUCACAAUCAGACUUAGUUUAAUACCGGUGGCACACAUAAGUGUAUAACUCCGACGUACGCCGGGCGUGGUAAAAAUCAUGUACUCUGCAAAUAGGCUAGUAAUUUUGGAUGCAUUUAACCUGUCAAUCAUAUCUGGAUCGUGUGCACAACCAUCUUUAAGCGUGUAUUGCAAUUGGACAUAUAUGAAGCGUACCACCUAAGCGUUUAUCGGGCGUUGACAUAUUCCUGGCGUUUGUCUAACGUAGAUGGAAUGCACGCUACAAAGGAAAAAAGUCUCUUGAACGUAUCUGAGACACGUCCCGGUCGUAUCCUGGACGAUUAUCCGUGCUUUCGACGUGUUGUGCGACGUUUAAUUAUUGGGUGUUUGUUAUGCAGGCGUCACACAUUGGCGUAUAGACCAAACAUACAGAGAACAUUGACAAAAUCGGUUUACGUUAGUUUCACGCCAGAGGAACGCUAAGCAAUUGUUAAACGUGCGUUGCAUAAGUUUGAAGUACGUCGAAAUAAAAAGGUAUAUGCUUGGUGAACGCUACCACUCCAGGAAAUUUUUAUGCUGCAUAAAAAUUUUCAUCAAGCUCAAUCGUGUGUCUAGCAUGUACCUACACGCAAGUUAUACAUACGCUACAAGCGCGUUGAAAACACUACAGAUAUGUUUGAGACACGUUUAGGGCAAGUUGUAUACGCUUCAAGAUUGUUCGACUGUACCUAAAACGUAUGCGGCCAACAAACACCCUAUAAUAGAACGUCCAAGAUAAGACCGGGACUCGUCUCUAAUACGGUCGAGGGACGUUUUUUUUCCUUCGUUGGAGCUAUACGCUGAUGCGUGACGCCGGCAUUACAUAUUUCAUUGUCUGAAACAACUUAGCAAAAUGGAACCAUACUUGGCAGCAAUGGUCCUUGGGUGGUCCUGUUUCAGUAUUGAGUCCAAUGAUCCAGACUGCCGACCAAGAUAGCUGCCACAGUGAACUUAGUAAUAUUGGACCCUUUAGGAAAUAACUUAGACAUUUUGAAGUCUGAAACCAAAGAGCCAAUUUUAACACUGGCUUACAAAUAAUGACUUGGAAAUCUAAGAAACAACCAUCUUAAAAAUGAAAUAGUGCAGCAUUUGUAAGCUAGGGGGCAGCACUAGUCAGUCAAAUGAGUACUGUGACCAGAACUGAGUUACGGAGGCCUAAAAAAAAGACCCACACAAGUGACCUGAAGUCAUGUUCAACUUUUCCUCCAGUUGGUAGGUAGGAUCUUUUUACUUUUAAAUCAGUUCAUGAUACUUUCAUCAUAUAUGCACAGUACUCAAAUCCGGUACAUGACUUUCGACUUACCGGGCCACGUCCACUUGUAUUUUUGUCCAUCUGAUGAGUUAAGCCUUUUUCAACUGAUUUUUGUAAUUCGUUCUUAUGUUGUACUGUUAUUAAAACCACUGUCCCAGGUUAGGGGAGGGUUGGGAUCCCGCUAACAUGUUUAAACCCGCCACAUUAUUUAUGUAUGUGCCUGUCCCAAGUCAGGAGCCUGUAAUUCAGUGGUUGUCGUUUGUUUAUGUGUUACAUAUUUGUUUUUCGUUCAUUUUUUUACAUAAAUAAGGCUGUUAGUUUUCUCGUUUGAAUUGUUUUACAUUGUCUUAUCGGGGCCUUUUAUAGCUGACUAUGCGGUAUGGGCUAUGCUCAUUGUUGAAGGCUGUAUGGUGACCUAUAGUUGUUAAUGUCUGUGUCAUUUUGAUCUUUUGUGGAUAGUUGUCUCAUUGGCAAUCAUACCACAUCUUCUUUUUUAUAAUACAUACCUAUGAAGUAAAAAUACCCCUUAACUGUCAAGACUAUUGAGCCGUCGAACUAUUGAACUGUCGGAUCAUCGAACCGUCAGACUAUCAAACUGUCGGACCAUCGAACUGUCGGACUAUCACUAGGGCCCCAAUAAUAAGACAUUACAAUAUAGUAUUGAUAUGACCAUAAGCCUUUGUUAAAUCAGAGACAAAACAAAAAAUUAUGAAGAUAUUAGAUUGGUGGUGGUUCCAGAGGUUAGAACACCCCUUUGUUUUGGACGAUCAAUGCAUUUGAAUGGGGACAUGUGGUUGGAACCCCCUUCUUAAAAUGGCUGGAUCCGCGCCUGAGUGGGUUAAAAUUUCACGAUUUUCAGUAAAUAAGGCAUACAAAAUAUUUUGGCAUAUUCAAAACUUCUAUGAAUACCUUUGCAUGUACACUUUUAAAUUGGUGGAAUUUAUUUUAUAAAAUAAGCGAAAAUAAUACGCUAUACGGUAUUACCUACCCUGUAAACACUGGGAACUAGAUCUUCUCAAUGUUUGUCCCAUUUUAGCAAAGAUGCUAUUAAUUAUGGAUUCACUGAAAAACACACUGGUCAAUAGUUAGAAUAGAAAUAAAGUGGGAAAAAAACAAAACUUCCACUCAAUGUUAUCCUUUUUCUCUUUAAGUAGCCAGCAACGAGUACAUCAGGCUAUAGAAGCUUGGUGUAAAACAGAGGCGGAUUUAGGGGGGGGGGGGGGUAAAAAAUUGGUUGCUUAUAUACCAGGUAGCUAGGGAAUCAUUGAAGCGUGACUGGAGCUCUCUUAGGUCAGUCAGUGGGCCCCCACUUAUGAAAAUUUCUGGAUCCGCCACUGUAAAAUUGGUUUACAAUAUUGCUAUGCCAAUAAAUUCCUGAAUUACCAACUUCAACUAAUUUUUUACUAUCUGUAUACCUCUCUGGAACAUGCUAAUUUUACAUCUUGAUAAGAGAAAGUCGGAAAUAAAUUUGCAAGGAAUUGUUUGAUAUGCAGCAAAGAUUGGCACUUUUGAAAAAUUUUAAGUUACUAAGCAAAAUCAAACACAGCUUAUCUUGAUUUAAACAUUGAAUGUCAAUAGAUUUGAGAAGUCCACAAAUACUUACUUAAAUAAAAUUUGAGAUGAGCUUUUCUUAAACUCUUAUUCAAAAUAGUAAAAAGAUAAGCAUAGUUUGGGAAAAUGUAACAUGCUAAAGUAAGGGAUUUUUUAGAACACUCAGAAAAAUGGUGACCUGAAAGAACUUGAUUUUGUAUGUAGAUGAUUUUUCCAUUUUUUUUCUCAAUAUUGAGCAAAGAUUUGCAGUUUUUAAAUUUCAGUUUUUCAAGCUUUUAAAGCAAUUAUCUCGAUAAAUACUGAACAUAAAACAUCUUAUAUUUACAUGUUUAUUUCUUAAAACUCUUUAAGGGGGUUCGCGGGUCUAAAUCAUUUAUAUAGGAUUUCUCUAUAUUUUUCUAUAAAUGAACUUUAUCUUAUAGUUAAUAGAAAAAUAAAAUAAAAAAGUGGGGUCACCGUUCAUUUGCGCUCACAAUCUGUCUUCUAAAGAAGCAUACAUUUUUGUAAAGGCGUUUUUUUUCUGUUGAAGUAAUAGGAGAAAUAAUGGUAAUAUCGAAAUAAAAAAAAAGAAAUUUAUUACAGAAAUCGCUAAAAUUUUACAAUAAUUUAGUUUAAGUACAGCUUAUAUGGAAAUUAUAUUAAAAAAGAUAGGUCACCGAUGAGUUGAAAAAGAUAUUUCAAUUUUAGAGCCAAAAAAUGGCAUUUUUCCACCAAAGGGAGAUAAUUUGGAACUUUUUCAAUGAUAUAUACAUUUUGAAAGUCAUCUGGGGCCAACACGAAUUGAUUGUUUUGAAUGAUUUGUGUACCAUAUGAUAAAGUAACAACUACAAAAGGAAAUAAAUAAAAUUUGUAAUGAAAAAGAAAUGUUUGAUUUUUUUCUGAAAUUUGUAUACCCUCGAGCCUCCUUAAAAUGUAUAAUUAUCAUUUAGUAUCUUCACUGGUAUUCUAUUAUUAUUGACUUUCUUUACUCUAUAAUAAGAAGAGUGAGUUUUCCUUUGUUUUCGUUCACCGUCAAUCCCACUGCAUAUGUACUCCAUGAAUAAUUAUGUAUCCAAAGUAAAAUAAAAUAAUUUUGAGUUAUCUCCCUUUAUAAGGCAAUUUUAAUUUUGAAAUGAACCCAUCUAGAUUUGAUUUCUAAAUUCUUGCAAUUCAAAAGAAAUAAACUUCUUACAGAUAGGUGAUUUGGUUUUAAAUGUAUAACACAAUUAUUAUGAUAAAAUCAGUGUGCUGGUUUUGUGGUUUAUUUAGUAAUACUUAUAAAGAAAACUGCACAAUUAAUUAAUGCACCAAGGUAUUAUUCUAUAAAUGAUUAUAAAUGUUCUUGUAUUUUUUUUCCCUUUUGAAUGUAUAUACAUGUAUAAUGCCUUUUAUUUCUAUUGCAGUAAACAAAUACCAUGUUAAUCAUGUUAUGAAACAGUAACUUAGAUGUGACUGCAUAAAGGUAAGAGUACUGUCUUAGUAUGUUUAGAAAAAACAACUUUUAAAAUCUACAGAAUUUAGGGAAAAAAAGCAAUUUUAUGGAGGCAAUUUUUUUUGUUAUAUAUAAAGUGUAUACAGACGACUGUAAAAAUGUGCCAUUUGAUGAUUUUAGUUCUCUGUUUUGUAACAUAAUAAAAACCCAUGUUAUCAUAAGAAAGUUUGAUGCAUAUUUAUGGCAUUAAUGUUAGAGAAUAAAUCAUCAACAUUUAAAAGAAAAAGUUGACAAGACAUAACUUAAUGGCUUAUAGUGUCAAAUUAUUUGAAAAAAAAAACAAAUAUUUGGUCUUAAAAAAAUAGCAUGUCAGACUUUUUUCACAGUAACACUAUAAAAUAAGGAGAUAUGGCAUGAUCGCCAAUGAGAAGUAUCCAAGACUAAAAAGAUUGAAAAAAAAGUUUUAUGUUUAAUGUCAAUACAAACUAACUGUGACCUGAUUGAACUCUUUCAGUUCAAAGAUACAUUGUUCAAGGAAAUAAAUUAGUCUAACACUGUAUUGACCUCUUAAAUUCAUUGUGCACCCUGUUCAAAGAAAUAUUUUAUUGGAAUUAUAUUGACAGAUUUAUACAUUUCUCUUUGAGUUUGAUGUAAUUAAUACAUUAUUUUAAAUUACUAAUGAAAAUCCAGUGACCUUAAAAGUCUAAAAUUUAUAAGACAAGUAUUAUAAGUGGAGUAGACAGGCUAAAAAUAUUUGUAUCUAAAGGAAAUUGACUCUAUAACCUCCUUAUUUAAAUUGUGCAUGAAAGGGAAUAAAGGUCCUUCAAAUGCAUGUGAUUCAUAAAGAGAUAUAUUUUGAGGGUGCAAUGAAAUGACCAUUUACUGAAUUUGUUUCUGCCAAAAGUGUGAUCAAUAUAUAUAUUGAAAGAAAGAAGAAUUAUUCAUAAACAUUCUCAACCCGGGAUUAAAUGAUAAAUAAUAUUCGUAUUUUAACGUUACAUUUUAAAGACUUAAAAUGACAUUAGUAGACUCCCUUGUAUCCUUGUAUUUGUUAACAUCAUGCUAUUGUUAACAUCAAUCAAUUGUUUUAUAUACAAGUCACAUUAGGCCACACCAAUUUGAUCCCUUGUUCGACGGACCGGCCCGCACCUAUUUUUUUCAAAACAGAUUUUUUUAUUUUUUUUAUAUUCCCGCUUCCCACAUCCGGAAUUGUAAUCAUGUCCAUUUCCCGCACCGUUUUUUUUUUUAAAUAUUAUAAAAAGAUAUCAACAUUUGUUAAAUCACAGUCUAACCUGUAUAUAACGAUUUUAAACAUAAAAACACCCCACCACACUGUGUAAAUAUCUGUGAGAAAUAUUUGUUUCAGCUGAAACUGGAGUGCUCGAUAAAAAAGUUAUAACAGUGGGUAUUUCCGUGAAGAACAAAAAAUUGGUUUCUUUCCCCCUUACUUAUAUUCCCUAUCAAAACAUGUUCGUUGUUAGAAUAAUAAAGUACAAAGAACUUCUGGAGGAUUUGCCUUCAACUGCAAUUAUAUUGUAUGCUGCGAAACAAAACUAUCCAUAGCCGUGCAUUUUAUUGCACCUGUCCUGAUUGAUUCAGGAGCAUGUCGUUCAGCUUAUCGUUUGUUGAUGUUGUUCAUUGGUAUUUUUCCCGUUUGGAAUAUAAUAAAUUAGAUCGUUGGUUUUUCCUGUUCGAAUUGUGUACGCUAAUAAAUUUGGGGUCCUUUAUAGCUUGCCGUUUGGUCUGUAUCAAAGCUCUGUGUAAAAGGCCGUACUUUGACCUGUGUUUGUUAUUAUCCGGUUGAGAACAACCCUCCCUCAGACAAGGGGUCAUUUUACUGAUGUAGAAAAGAAAAUAGAAAUACCAAGGAUUUGUAAAGUUCUUCUAUACAAAACCUUUGAACACUUAGAAUUUUGUACUCAAAAAGAGGAGAGUUGCAUCAUAUUUUAAACAAAUUUUUCUAAAAGAGGGGUCCACUUAUUUUGAAUAAUAUUAAACUGUUAAAAGUAAAUGUGUUAACAUGGUUAAAGUCCAGGAAUAUUACUAAAUUCUUGGACAUGUUUUGACCAUUUAAUACCAGAUAGAUAUAUAGUUCCUAUGAGAAAAAUAUGAGCCCUUUUGUACAAACAAAUAUAUUAUAACUUAUAAUGAUCCCUUAUAAAACAUGUAAAAGGGAUAUUUAUAACACUUAUUAUGAUUUGGAUGGAGAAUUGUCUCAUUGUCAGUCACACAUACAUAGACCAGAUUUAAUUAUUUCUUGGUGAACAGGGAAAAAAUACUUGAGAAAUUAAAGAAAUGUCAAAGUACAAGUGAUAAAUCAAGUUUUAAUAUUGUCAAAACCUAUUAUUUUAUGUUUACAAAAAAAAAUUAUAAUCGCUCGCCUUUACUUUCAAGCUUCCCCUCAAAAAUUUGCAAAUUAAAUGUUUUUUUAUUAAAAUUUUCAAAUUGCUCGCUCGCCCAAAAUUUUGGAGUCCAAAAAUCCGUAGAACAAGAAAUUAAAUUGGUGUGGCCUUACCUGAUAUAUUUCUCAUGAACUUUUCGAGUCUAUAAUAUUGGAGAGUUCCCAUUGUUGAUGAUGCACAUAGACUGAGAUUGAAACCGUUAUUAUCUUUAUCUUUUAAUAAUUUUCUUAUAUGUUACCAGCAUACGGACUUUACUUAACUUUUUCUUUAUAUAUAUAUAUAUAUAUAUAUAUAUAUAUAUAUAUAUAUAUAUAUAUAUAUAUAUAUAUAUAUAUAUAUAUAUAUAUAUAUAUAUAUAUAUUGAGAGCCCAGGUGGUCGUGUGGUCUACCGGGACGGCUGCAGUGCAGGCGAUUUGGUGUCACGAUAUCACAGUAGCAUGGGUUCGAAUCCCGGCGAGGGAAGAACCAAAAUUUGCGAAAGCAAAUUUUACAAGAUCUAACAUUGUUGGGUUGAUGUUUAGACGAGGUAUAUAUAUAUAUAUAUAUAUAUAUAAACGAGUCUAAAUUGAAAAUUACGUUCAAACCUAUGAUUGCGUUGGAUAAAAACCGCUAUUUUUAUACGUGUGCAUGUAAAACAAAUUUCGUUGUAGAAGGGUCUAAAAACAGCACAAACAACAUUUUCCAAAAGACCAACAAAGUGAAAAAGUAUAUUUAAACAAAACGCAUUUGACUAACAGGUCGAACAACUGAUGUUCUUUAACCCUGCUCAGUGACUGCCAUUGGUGAUUGCCAAAUAAAAUUGAUCACAAGAUGUAACAAAAUGGAUCUUAAUAUUAAAUUUAAUUACUAAACAGAAAAAAAAUUAACUUGUGGCCACGAUGUUAUGCCACAAACAUACGGUUUCAAUAUUUUUUUAGUACACCAGAUCCGGAUAUAUAUAUAUAUAUACAUGCAGUGGUCUUAAUUUAGCAUGUUUUAAUUUACUACAAAUGUAUAUAACAAUUAUGCAAUUGUUAGAUACUUGUAAAGUGUCCAAUGUUAGUGAAAAUAUUUUUGUCUAGUUUAUCACAGCUUUCAAUACAUUAAAUAUUGACUUUUAAGGGGAAAUAACUCCUAAUCAUUUUAGCUUUCUCUUUUAUCUUAAAUUGCUAUCUAAGCUGAAAAAGUAUCAAGUAGUUCAUUAUUUUUGCAUUAUUUUGAUUUACUCCAAAUGUAUAUAACAGUUAGGUAAUUUUAACAUACUUUUAGAAUGUCCACCCUUGAUUAAAAUUUAUUUUGAUUGUAUUUCACAGCUUUUAAUACAUUAAAUAUUGACAUUUAAGGGGGAAUAACUCUAAAACCAAUUCUAUUCUUCUCUUUAAUCUUAAAUAGCUAGCUAAGCUGAAAUAGUAUCAAGUAGUUCAUUAUGUUUGAAAGUAAGAUCAGCACAUUAACAAGUCCACUUUUGUUUUAUUAUGUUCUUUGUUUAAAUUCUGAUCAAGUGAAUUAACUUUCCAUUCAAAUAUGUGUAGUGUUAUAAUAAGGUAUUUUACCCUUCAUUGGUCCUAUUGUGCUGUCGGCAAACUUUUAUCAAUAGUCAUUUAAUUCGGGAUCAUGUGAAAAAUUAGCUCAAUAUCAGAUCACCAUAAGAAUUAUGGACUUACUGACUUACCAAUUAAUCAUUGUGGAAUGAGGAUUUUUAUUUACCAACGUUAGGAUUUAUGAUCGAAAUUUGUUUACUUUAAUAUGCUUUACAAGAAUUUCUGUCAAAUAAAUAGUGAUAAAUAUUUCCCAAGGAUAAAGAUUCCAUCAAAUUAAUAGACAAAAGUGAAUUGAAUAGACUACAGCAAAUCUCAUGUUACUAGUUAAUUGUCUUUCAGAUUUGUUUUUUCUCAACACUUAUGUGCUUAUACUAGAUGGAGAUUUUAAUAAAUUUUAUUUCAAAUUAGGAUUUUGGAAAUGAAAAGAUUAGAAUGACUUCAGAAGAAGUUGAAAACAGACAUGAAGAAGAGGAAGACCUUGAUAGAGAAAG